AGUGGAAUAACUGGGUCAAAUGGUGGUUCCAUUCCAAUUUUCCUGAAUAAUCUCCAUGUUACUUUCCAGAGUGGUUGCACCAAUUUGCAGUCUCAGUAGCAAU
This 103-nucleotide microRNA precursor is filed under the name Marmota monax (woodchuck). Lineage: Eukaryota; Metazoa; Chordata; Mammalia; Rodentia; Sciuridae. The record is from RNAcentral.